AAAAAGGCAAACCAUGGAUUUCCGUGUCCAACUUUGACUUUCUGUCUUAUAUGAAAUUUUUUUAUAAUUCGUAUUUUCAUUGUUGUUAGAUGAUAAAACAUGAUUAAUAUUUUAUGCGUGACUUGUCUUUUUAAUUUUUUUCAUAAUUUUUUCAAAUAAGACGGACGGUCAAAUGUUGGGCACGGAAACCAGGGUUUGUCUUUUU
This 205-nucleotide microRNA precursor is filed under the name Oryza barthii. RNAcentral describes it as "MIR812 microRNA precursor family". It matches the Rfam family "MIR812 microRNA precursor family". The record is from Rfam by way of RNAcentral. Lineage: Eukaryota; Viridiplantae; Streptophyta; Magnoliopsida; Poales; Poaceae.